AAAGUCGUAACAAGGUUUCCGUAGGUGAACCUGCGGAAGGAUCAUUAUUGAAACAAACUGCGGCUGUGGAUUGUUGCUGACCUUUGACCGGGUAUGUGCACGUCUGCAGUUGCUUUAACUUCAUCCACCUGUGCACUACUGUAGGCCUGGAUAUCUUUCACAAGUGAUUGCUAUGUGGUUUGGAGGGUGUUUCACGACUCCCUUCAAUUUCCAGGUCUAUGUUCACUUAUACUCUUUGUAUGUUUUGAAUGUCUUGUUGAUUGGACUCUGUCCUAUAAAACUCAAUACAACUUUCAACAACGGAUCUCUUGGCUCUC
This 317-nucleotide unclassified non-coding RNA is filed under the name Basidiomycota sp. RNAcentral's name for it is "partial contains small subunit ribosomal RNA, internal transcribed spacer 1, and 5.8S ribosomal RNA". The stretch from base 1 to 47 matches the Rfam family "Eukaryotic small subunit ribosomal RNA", at positions 1785 to 1831 of the family's 1831-position model. Lineage: Eukaryota; Fungi; Basidiomycota. The record is from RNAcentral.